RNAcentral lists this small nuclear RNA (107 nucleotides) under Castor canadensis (American beaver). The record is from RNAcentral. Lineage: Eukaryota; Metazoa; Chordata; Mammalia; Rodentia; Castoridae.
GUGCUCGCUUUGGCAGCACAUAUACUAAAAUUGGAAGGAUCCAGAGAAGAUUAACAUGGUUUCUGCACAAGAAUGAUACACAAAUCUGUGAAGUGUUCCAUGUUAAA